RNAcentral lists this ribosomal RNA (443 nucleotides) under uncultured bacterium. RNAcentral describes it as "partial 16S ribosomal RNA". It matches the Rfam family "Bacterial small subunit ribosomal RNA", at positions 338 to 795 of the family's 1533-position model. The record is from RNAcentral.
CCUACGGGUGGCAGCAGUGGGGAAUAUUGGGCAAUGGAGGCAACUCUGACCCAGCAACGCCGCGUGAAUGAUGAAGGUCUUCGGAUUGUAAAGUUCUUUUCUAAGGGAAGAAGAAAGUGACACUACCUUAGGAAUAAGCCUCGGCGAACUACGUGCCAGCAGCCGCGGUAAUACGGAGGGGGCAAGCGUUAUCCGGAAGGACUGGGCGUAAAGGGUUCGUAGGUGGUUUGACAAGUUAGUAGCGCAACUCCGGGGCCCAACUCCGGAACUGCUGCUAAAACUGUUGGACGUGAGUGCAGGAGAGGUAAGCGGAAUUCCUAGUGUAGCGGUGAAAUGCGUAGAUAUUAGGAGGAACACCAGUGGCGAAGGCGGAUUACUAGACUGUAACUGACACUGAGGCACGAAAGCGUGGGGAGCAAACAGGAUUAGAUACCCUAGUAGUC